GGGCCCGUAGCUCAGCUAGGUAGAGCAAUCGGCUCUUAACCGAUGGGUCGAGGGUUCGAAAGAUUCUAAUUGAAUCCGAACAUCCCUCCGGGCCCG
Molecule: transfer RNA, 96 nt
Filed under: Methanomicrobia archaeon
Lineage: Archaea; Methanobacteriati; Methanobacteriota; Methanomicrobia
Description: tRNA-Lys
Rfam family: tRNA
About the family: Transfer RNA (tRNA) molecules are approximately 80 nucleotides in length. Their secondary structure includes four short double-helical elements and three loops (D, anti-codon, and T loops).
Source: RNAcentral